RNAcentral lists this long non-coding RNA (348 nucleotides) under Rattus norvegicus (Norway rat). RNAcentral describes it as "long non-coding RNA NONRATT002468". Lineage: Eukaryota; Metazoa; Chordata; Mammalia; Rodentia; Muridae. The record is from RNAcentral.
GAGCAACAGAGAAGUCAGAGGCCUGGGCCCCUGACACCAGUAUCCCAGGUCCCAGCUUGUCAUAGCCAAGGGCAUCAGGGCCAGCAGGGAAGCAAGGGUCACGAAACAGGAUCCCGGAAUCCAGGCAAGCUGCUCGGAUGGCUUCGUAGUUCUGACCCUUAAAGAGCUGUGGGCCCCCAGCUCCAGCCGCGGCCCCGUCGUCCACCAGCUGGAUAGUGACCUUCCUGUUGCCACUCGCCAUCCGGACACUCUGGGCACACAGAAGGACCCAAGCCCUUUAACCUCCUGAGUCAUGAGGCGGGGCUUCUGUUCCAUUUGUACCCUGUUGGGGGUCUUUAAGCAUGGAGG